This 2299-nucleotide unclassified non-coding RNA is filed under the name Dendronephthya gigantea. Its description in RNAcentral is "zinc finger protein 436-like, transcript variant X3". The record is from RNAcentral. Lineage: Eukaryota; Metazoa; Cnidaria; Anthozoa; Malacalcyonacea; Nephtheidae.
GUUACGAAAUACGAAAAGUUGUUAUUGCAAAUUUUUGCAAUUCGGAAAUGUCCACGUUAUUAUCUGUGAUAAAUAAUUAAAUAUCGUACAAAAGAAGAUCGCCUAUUUUCUUUUAAAUGAGGGAUCGUUUGCUAGAAAAAUACGCAAAGAAGAAAGAAAUGCUCUAGAGGGACUACGACUUUCACAAGUAUAUCAUCCGGAAAUGCAAUAAAAUGAAUGUUUGUGUGACCUUACAAGAACGUUCAGUAUGGCGGCGCAUUUUAUGCAGAACACUUGGGCAUUGUUUGUCAAAAUACAAUUGAAAGGAUUUGAAACUACUUUUUCAAUCAAAUCAAGAAUGGAAUGCGGUGUUUGUAGCAAGACAUUUUCGACUAGGGGUAAUCUAGUAAGACAUAAAAGAACCCACACAGGAAUCAAACCUUACAAAUGUGAUAUUUGCGAGGGAAGGUUUUUUCGAUCAUCCCACUUAGAGGAGCAUAAAAUAACGCACACGGGUGAAAAACCAUUUCAAUGUGAUGUAUGUAACAAGAAAUUCACACGAUCUGGCCACCUUAUUGUACAUAAGAAAACACACAGUGUGGAAAAACCCUAUGAAUGUGGUAUUUGCAAGCAGAGAUUUUCUCUCAUGACUGAUUUGGCUGACCAUAAAAAUAAACAUGCUGAAGAAAAAUAUGAAUGUGACAUUUGCCAUCAAGUAUUUACCCAGUCUGGUGCUAUUACAAGACACAGGAGAAUACACACAGGAGAAAAACCAUAUAAAUGCGACAUUUGCCAGCAGACAUUUGCUCGGGCUAAUUCCUUAAGGAGACAUUCAUUAACGCAUACAGGAGAGAAACCUUAUAAAUGUGAUGUUUGCCAAGAAAGGUUUUCUCGAUCAAGUAAUUUGGCACGUCACAUGAUAAGAAAGCAUUCUAAAGAAAAGAAAACUGAAAGUGAUGUUUCCAACCACAGGCAGUAUACCUCGCCUAAAAUAAGAUUGAAUGAGGCAGGAAAGUAUGAAUGUGAGACUCACCAGGAAAAAAAUAUGUGUCCACCUGAGGAAUUAAGAGGUAGUGCUAAAAAGGACUCUACUCAAACAGGUUUAUGCAACAUACAACUUCCUGAUUGCAAAUGCUUGAUGCAACACAUUAAGAAGGAGUGUGAUAUCUCAUAUGGCCAGAGCCACCAGAUUGAUGUCUGCUCUGAGGAAUUGCAACUGAAGACACAGCUUACCAACAUUGGGUAUGUCUGCUCUUUGUGUGGUAUUGCAUUCAAUACUCUUGCAGAAUUAGAAAAUCAUUUUAAUACUCAUAACAUAGAAUAGGUUUGUAAACUUUCAAAUUAUAGAUUAAUCAUUGGUGUGUAACUUAACUUUUCUGACCACUUGAUAUUAGGAAAAGCAACAGGAAACAUUGUCCAAGUGCCACAUGUUUUUUACACCCUUUAAAUUGGCUUGAUGAGUAUGGGGCUUUUUACAGUUACAGUAUACCACUGUUAAGUUGUGUUACAUUCAGUUAAUCAAACCAUGCACUUUUGAUCUAAAAUACUACCACUGGUGUGAAGACACAGCUUACCAACAUUGGGAAAAGGAACAGAAAACAAGUGCCACAUUGUUUUUCAAACAUCUUGGCUUAAUGAGUAUAGGCUUUCAGAUUUAGUUGAAUGUAGCACAUUCAGAUUUAGUUGAAUGUUAUACAUAAAAUGAUGUUGAAAAUGGUUCACAAGGCUAACAUAAUGAGAUGAAUCAUUGAUAAAAUUGUAUUCAACUUAAAGAAAAGUUCAAAGUUUUUGAGUAGUGGACCUGCAUUGUAACAAAUUCAUUGUCAUUUUUAAACUCAAACUUUUAUGCCUUUAAAAUGGGACUAGCAAGUAUUAAGUUACCAUUACAGUACACCAAUGUUAAGUUGUGUUACAUUCAGUUAAUCAAACCAUGCACUUGUGAUCUAAAAUACUACCACCAAAGCACUUGUUUUUUCAUUUAUCAGAAUAGACAUUAUAUAAUAUUUGAUUGCUCUCAACCAAUCCUCAUCCAAUAAUUUUAUGCUAAUAAUACAUAUAAUUAUACUAGCAGAAAGUAAUAAGUAAUAAUCUCCAAGUCACUUGACUUUUUAUACUAUGUACUAUUAAUCACUGCGAAAGUCGCAGCCAGGACGUUGGAUGCCUCCCACAACACACACUGCGUGCCUGGAAAAGCCUAUAGCCUCGUCGAAGUGUAAGAUGGUCACAUGUCGUAAACUGAGAAGUAUAGUCAAGAGCUAUCUAUAUUUGAAUCUAUAUAUGAAUGUAUAUAUCAUGAAAAAUGAUAGAUUAGAUUGAAAUA